GUACGGCGAGUGAAGCGGUAAAAGCUCAAAUUUGAAAUCUGGUACUUUCAGUGCCCGAGUUGUAAUUUGUAGAAUUUGUCUUUGAUUAGGUCCUUGUCUAUGUUCCUUGGAACAGGACGUCAUAGAGGGUGAGAAUCCCGUUUGGCGAGGAUACCUUUUCUCUGUAAGACUUUUUCGAAGAGUCGAGUUGUUUGGGAAUGCAGCUCAAAGUGGGUGGUAAAUUCCAUCUAAAGCUAAAUAUUGGCGAGAGACCGAUAGCGAACAAGUACAGUGAUGGAAAGAUGAAAAGAACUUUGAAAAGAGAGUGAAAAAGUACGUGAAAUUGUUGAAAGGGAAGGGCAUUUGAUCAGACAUGGUGUUUUUUGCAUGCACUCGCCUCUCGUGGGCUUGGGCCUCUCAAAAAUUUCACUGGGCCAACAUCAAUUCUGGCAGCAGGAUAAAUCAUUAAGAAUGUAGCUACUUCGGUAGUGUUAUAGCUUUUUGGAAUACUGUUAGCCGGGAUUGAGGACUGCGCUUCGGCAAGGAUGUUGGCAUAAUGGUUAAAUGCCGCCCGUC
RNAcentral lists this ribosomal RNA (555 nucleotides) under Hanseniaspora uvarum. RNAcentral describes it as "partial large subunit ribosomal RNA". It matches the Rfam family "Eukaryotic large subunit ribosomal RNA", at positions 83 to 653 of the family's 3401-position model. The record is from RNAcentral. Lineage: Eukaryota; Fungi; Ascomycota; Saccharomycetes; Saccharomycodales; Saccharomycodaceae.